This 1920-nucleotide ribosomal RNA is filed under the name metagenome. Its description in RNAcentral is "bacterial LSU rRNA". It matches the Rfam family "Bacterial large subunit ribosomal RNA", at positions 114 to 1987 of the family's 2925-position model. The record is from RNAcentral.
CCGAAUGGGGAAACCCGCAUAGAGUCAUGUCUAUGCAUCCUUAUCUGAACACAUAGGGUAAGGAAAGCGACCUGGAGAACUGAAACAUCUAAGUAACCAGAGGAACAGAAAUCAAUUGAGAUUUCCUUAGUAGCGGCGAGCGAACGGGAAACAGCCUAAACCUUUAUUGUGUAAGCUUGCAGGCGUUGCAUUAGAGGUGUUGUAGGGCAUUCUAGAUAUUACUGCAAUAAUAUCAGUAAGUCAGAAAAUAUUAGAUUAGUAGAAUAAGCUGGAAAGCUUAGCCAUAGACGGUGAUAGCCCGGUAUACGAAAAUCUAGUAUCUUACAGAAUUGUCCCUGAGUACCGUCGGACACGAGAAAUCCUGCGGGAAUCUGGGUGGACCAUCAUCCAAGGCUAAAUAUGACUGUGCGACCGAUAGCGAACAAGUACCGUGAGGGAAAGAUGAAAAGAACCNCGGNAGNGGAGUGAAAUAGAACAUGAAACCAUAUGCNUACAAGCAGUCGGAGGUNCAUAUGNACUGACGGCGUGCCUAUUGAAGAAUGUGCCGGCGACUUAAUGUNAGUUGCNAGGUUAAGUUUUUAUACGGAGCCGUAGCGAAAGCGAGUCUGAAUAGGGCGAAAGUAGCUNGCAUUAGACCCGAAACCNAGUGAUCUAUCCAUGGGCAGGAUGAAGCGANAGUAANAUUUCGUGAAGGUCCGAACCGUNGUAUGUUGAAAAAUGCUCGGAUGACCUGUGGAUAGUGGUGAAAUGCUAAUCGAACCAGGAGAUAUCUGGCUCUCCCCGAAAUGACUUUAGGGUCAGCCUUGAGAAUAAGCAUUAUGGAGGUAGAGCACUGUUAAGGCUAGGGGGAUCACCAAUCUUACCAAACCUUGGCAAACUCCGAAUGCCAUAAUGUACUACUCAGGAGUGAGUCUUAGGGGGCUAAGCUCCUAAGACAAAAGGGAAACAACCCAGAUCGUCAGNUAAGGUCCCUAAAAUAUGCUAAGUGGGAAAGGAAGUGAAGUUGCUUAAACAGCCAGGAGGUUGGCUUAGAAGCAGCCAUCCUUUAAAGAAAGCGUAANAGCUCACUGGUUUAGUGAUUUUGCGCCGAAAAUGUAACGGGGCUAAGCAUAUUACCGAAACUACGAGAUUGCUUGCAAUCGGUAGGGGAGCGUUCUGUANUAGGCUGAAGAUGAAUCGUGAGAUUUGUUGGACGAAUCAGAAGUGAGAAUGUCGGCAUGAGUAACGAAAAGAUAAGUGAGAAUCUUAUCCGCCGAAAACCUAAGGUUUCCUGGGGAAGGCUCGUCCGCCCAGGGUUAGUCGGACCUAAGUCGAGGCCGAAAGGCGUAGUCGAUGGACAACAGGUUAAUAUUCCUGUACCACUAANAGCGCGUUAUCAGCAAUGGGGUGACGCAGUAGGAUAGGUCAGCCACUUAUUGGAUUGUGGUUUAAGCAUGUAGGAGGAAGAGAAUUGGCAAAUCCGUCUCUUCAUACUCUGAGAUGUGAUGACGAGGUGCUUGCACUGAAGUGAUUGACUCCACACUGACCAGAAAAACCUCUAGUAAGUGCUUUUGGUGCCCGUACUAAAACCAACACAGGUAGGUAGGUAGAGAAUACUAAGGCGCGCGAGAUAACUCUCGUUAAGGAACUCUGCAAAAUAGCCUCGUAACUUCGGGAGAAGAGGUGCCUAGNUAACGUGANNNCACUUGCUGNNNNAGCGUGAAUAGGUUGCAAUAAAAUGACUCAAACGACUGUUUAUCAAAAACACAGGUCCAUGCGAAACCGUAAGGUGAUGUAUAUGGGCUGACGCCUGCCCAGUGCUGGAAGGUUAAUAGGAGAUGUCAAUCUUCGGAUGAAGCAUCGAAUUGAAGCCCCAGUGAACGGCGGCCGUAACUAUAACGGUCCUAAGGUAGCGAAAUUCCUUGUCGGGUAAGUUCCGAC